GAUGAACGCUAGCGGCAGGCUUAAUACAUGCAAGUCGUGGGGCAGCAGGGGUAGCAAUACUCGCUGGCGACCGGCAAACGGGUGCGGAACACGUACACAACCUUCCUUUAAGCGGGGGAUAGCCCAGAGAAAUUUGGAUUAAUACCCCAUAGUGUAUCGAAUAGGCAUCUUUUUGAUAUUAAAGAUUUAUCACUUGAAGAUGGGUGUGCGGCUGAUUAGGUAGUUGGCGGGGUAACGGCCCACCAAGCCUACGAUCAGUAGCUGAUGUGAGAGCAUGAUCAGCCACACGGGCACUGAGACACGGGCCCGACUCCUACGGGAGGCAGCAGUAAGGAAUAUUGGACAAUGGGCGAAAGCCUGAUCCAGCCAUGCCGCGUGAAGGAUUAAGGUCCUCUGGAUUGUAAACUUCUUUUAUAUGGGACGAAAAAAGGGAAUUCUUUCUCACUUGACGGUACCAUAUGAAUAAGCACCGGCUAACUCCGUGCCAGCAGCCGCGGUAA
This 500-nucleotide ribosomal RNA is filed under the name uncultured bacterium. Its description in RNAcentral is "partial 16S ribosomal RNA". It matches the Rfam family "Bacterial small subunit ribosomal RNA", at positions 28 to 523 of the family's 1533-position model. The record is from RNAcentral.